AACGAACGCUGGCGGCAGGCCUAACACAUGCAAGUCGAACGCUCGUAGCAAUACGGGAGUGGCAGACGGGUGAGUAACGCGUGGGAACCUACCCUUUGGUUCGGAAUAGCCCAGGGAAACUUGGGGUAAUACCGGAUAAGCCCUUCGGGGGAAAGAUUUAUCGCCAUUGGAUGGGCCCGCGUCGGAUUAGCUAGUUGGUGGGGUAACGGCCUACCAAGGCGACGAUCCGUAGCUGGUCUGAGAGGAUGAUCAGCCACACUGGGACUGAGACACGGCCCAGACUCCUACGGGUGGCAG
Molecule: ribosomal RNA, 297 nt
Filed under: uncultured Pseudomonadota bacterium
Lineage: Bacteria; Pseudomonadati; Pseudomonadota
Description: uncultured proteobacterium partial 16S ribosomal RNA
Rfam family: Bacterial small subunit ribosomal RNA
Source: RNAcentral